Molecule: long non-coding RNA, 699 nt
Filed under: Erythranthe guttata (spotted monkey flower)
Lineage: Eukaryota; Viridiplantae; Streptophyta; Magnoliopsida; Lamiales; Phrymaceae
Description: long non-coding RNA (EGUT_LNC000658)
Source: RNAcentral
AUAAAAUUUUCUAUUUCUGUAGGUAAUUACACUGAUGAUGUAAACUGCAUGCUUUCUGACUUUAUUUAAAUUAGACCAACAAAGCACAUUCUUCCUCAGGUUCUUGCUUUGUACCAUAAGUCUCUAUUAGUAAAUGUUUUAUUGAUGUGCAUGGUGGUGUUUCGUUUUUUGUUCAUAAUAGUAUUUCUAAUGAUAGAAACCUUAAUCAUGAAUAGGCAACGAAUAAGCUCAUUUCAGCAUGUUUUUGCUCAACUUGGACAGAGAGAGAUCUUGUAUCUCUUUUAUUUUGUUUGUGUGUUUAAUUCAGGUUUUGAAGGGAGACAUAAUCUGGUGAGGUUUGUAAAACUAUUCAGAAAGCAGGAAUAUAUCUUUUUGGAGUGUAUGUUUUUGCAUAAUGUAAUUUUGGAUUAUUAUAAAGCUCUUGCCUAGCUAGAUCUAUGUUCCAAACAGGAUUUGUGCAUAACCGGUAAAGUUUACACCUAAGGGGAUGUGUUCUUAAUUUAUUAAUGUUUUUUUUUUUUUAUAGAUUAUUUGAAGCAGCAUCGAUCUCUUCGCUAAAACUUUGGAAGGUUUGUGCAUAUUAUUUUUUCUUAUUUGUAUGGUUGUAUUAUAUGUUUCUUUUGUUUCGAGAAUUCAAUAUCUACUGUAUAUGUUGUUGUUCUAUUUAUUUUAUUUUUUAAUGCACCUUAUCCUAUAAUA